Molecule: microRNA, 21 nt
Filed under: Hordeum vulgare
Lineage: Eukaryota; Viridiplantae; Streptophyta; Magnoliopsida; Poales; Poaceae
Description: hvu-miR6190
Source: miRBase by way of RNAcentral
CGAGGAAAGGAAGAAGCCAUG